Molecule: small nuclear RNA, 102 nt
Organism: Vulpes vulpes (red fox)
Lineage: Eukaryota; Metazoa; Chordata; Mammalia; Carnivora; Canidae
Source: Ensembl
GGGCUCGCUUCAGCAGCACAUAUGCUAAAACUGGAAUGAUAUGGAGAUCAGCAUGGCCUCUGCACAAGGAUGACAUUUCUCUGUGAAGCCUUCCAUAUUUAA